Molecule: long non-coding RNA, 4313 nt
Organism: Gallus gallus (chicken)
Lineage: Eukaryota; Metazoa; Chordata; Aves; Galliformes; Phasianidae
Exons: 5
Source: RefSeq, a predicted model, not a curated record
GUAACAGAAUGUUGGUGGGAAGGUUCAAACCCUUCUGCCAUAGCACCAACAUCUGCCUCUGAUGUUGUGGGCAAACAUCAAAAAACAAGAGGUAUUACUUUCAGAGCAGCCCUCUUUAAAAAGAUAAAACCAUACUGUUGUGUUUUAUCCAUGUGCACUGAAAAGCAAUGACAGCCAUAAUGCAGUGCCUGGCAGUUUCAGAAUCACGUGGAGAUUUCAGAAGUUAGAUGCUGCCUGAAAAAUGCUCAGAACGUAUCACAUUCAUAAAGAUGUAAAGGUGAUCACUACAGCUUCCAGACUUCUUGUACUGAACUCACCUACACACAGCACUUCACGCAAGGCUCCACAAAAGACUAUUUUUAGGCCUAUGAUUUCCUUGAAAAACAUCAGCCACGCAGGAGAAGCAGCACUGUACUUGAGAUGAAAUCCAACAGCAACGUUCAUGCCAGCAAUUCUAUGGGAAAGCUGUUUUGCAGAACGCAAAUCAUUCAUUCAGCAUUGCUGCCAAUUCUCACUCAGGGCCAGAUUCUGAACGUGACUAAAUAACAGUUACUGCCCUGCAAAACACUGACGCUCAGUAUAGGCGCUCCUGCCUGUACCACUUAUUAAAGGAAAAUAAAAUUGCUGUUACGCUGCUAAGAGAUGUGUUAAUGAAAGAGACUGCAGGUCAUUUGUAGCCAGCAACACUGGCGAGGAAGCAUCGCUAGGACAGCAGCAGACACGUCCCUGGGACAUUAAAAUGCAAGGUAUUAAUAAAAAACGUAAACACUCUGAAAUUCAAACCACAUUUUAUUUUUGGAUCCUUUUUCUCAGCUCGGGGAGAGAAACAGCCAUGUGAAACGUUGGACACACAUCUUUGUAAGAAUGCAGUUUUGUUAAUGGCACGGGAUGUGCUCAGAAAGCAGGACUCACACAGACACUUUCUGUAGCUCCCCCUCAAUGUAAUUAAGUCAUAGGCAUAGCACCCAUUAAUUCAAAUCUUUAGCAAGUUUAUUACACCAAAACUGCGACCCAAUUUUCCCUUCAAUAUGUAUGCAAAUUUCUGAUUAAUUAUGAAGCUUUUCUCAUAUAGGAACAAUUGCCCUGGUUUUGCUUUAUUCCACCUUGGGGGGAGCUUCCUGAACCACCAAUGCUGCCACAAGACCAAGAACUGCAGUGUGUGCUGGAAAGGCACGUAACACAUUAAAACCUCAGCCUCUGGAAACAGCAAACUUCACCACUUGGGGAAGGAUGGGGAGGGGGAAAUCAGAGCACCUUUCCUCGUGCAUUUCCUGACAGUGCUCUCAGUACACACUAACCUGACGUUCAGGCUUCGUGAUUUGAUGAAAUGGUUGACAGGCAAAACCAAGAUUUGCUCUGUCAGGAUGAGGUUUUGUUUUCAGUCUACAGUAACACCAACAAUGUCUCUUCAAACUGAUAACACACCUAUAUGUGAAAAGUUGCAUUUCCAAAAGUUGCAUUUCUUUUUUCUGUCAACAUACCCUGCAUUUGUGUACAAAAUGUCUCUUAUACGACAUACUAAGAUCCCCUUGGCUGGCAGAUGCUGCACAUAAAUUCAGAAUUUCAAAGCCAGCUAAAUAGAACAUUUGUUUAUAAGUUACUUCCCCCAGCAGCAGUACGGAAUGCUGUAUUUGUGAAGUUUCUUGCCUCUGACAGCCUUGAGAUACCUUGCAGACAGUAAAUCACAUUCACAAGUCCUGCCAGUCUUAAUUCCCACUGCAUUUUCUGCCUCUACCAUUGCAGCCCAAAAUGCACAUCUUAGAUUCAUCUUAUCUGAAACAUAGAGGAAAGGGGUGGGAAAAAAACCCCCAAAAUGGAGGCCUACGUGGAGUCCGUUAGCUGCCCAGCGUCCCUCAAGUCAGUGGAAAUGGAAUUUUCAUUUCCUCUGAGUCAUGCGAUUCUAUCAAGAUAUUACUAAGAAUUACCCACACUCAGAUCUACCCGGAUCACCUUUCAAGCAGCCUUCACAAUUCACACUUCUACUUCUGAAAAUGAAUUAAUAUUUGUUCGCCGAUCUUCCCAAAGAACCGACUGUACAAAUGAGGGGCUGAUUUUUAUUAUUUAUUUACACUCUAUCAGGGGCUCCAGAACUGACUCCAAGGUCUCCUAAAGCUGAAGUUUAACUCAGUAUUAACAGUGUUUAUAAAACAAGAACACAUUUUAAUUUCUCAGAACAGAUCGUGCUUAGUUCUACUACACUCCCUUUUUAGUCUUUGCCAUACUCCAUUAUGUGACUAAAGAAUGGCUUUCUAAAAGCUAAACAGCUAACUAUCUGAUAAAGCCUUCCUUCAGCCUUUUGUCUGUGCAGAAACCAGUCACAGGAUCAGCACAAAGACGCAAAGCACUCUUUAAAAUGGGUAUUCAGGCUCACAAGUAUAUCAUGUACUUACUGUAACUUUAACACAGUUAAACAUAAAAAAAAACACAGAGGGGUUUUCCAAACCCUGGAAAGUCAGCUCUGUUACAGUGUGAAACCACGGCUGCCCAUCAGGCCAACGCACUGACAGCAAAUCCAGGGCACGGCGUUUACUUUCUGUUGCAAGCGUGCAUAUCCACAUCGACUGCCCUGCAGCUCUUUCUGUUCCUGCUGCUCUUGGGAGCAAGCAGGAGACUGGGGGGGAAAAGUCUUUCUUAAAUCAAUGAUAAAGAUUUCUGUGACAUUUCAGCUGGUUUAUUUUGUAAGAGAUGCAGAAAAGCAGGCAAAGUUUCAGGCACGACAUAAAUAAAACAAGCAAACAUUUGAUCUGCUGGUAUUUACGGUACCCUGCAAACACGGACCGUCUGUGAAACCAAAGCUGCCACAUUCUCCCUCAAAGCGCAGUUAAAAUUAAAAUUGAGGCAUGAGUAGACUUUUGUUCUGUUUUUAAAGCUACGUGGGUAUUUUCUAUCAUUUGCAGAGCUGGGAGUUCUGCUAACGCGGUCACAGAAGACGUCACAGAUGUGCUCCUGGGUCACUUAAAACGUUCAGAAAGGCACUACUCCUGCUAAACAAAACUAGAUAUGGAAAUGAAAGAAAAUAAAAGUGCAUCAAAACCCUUGGGUUACUUUAACUACUCCGCAGAAAUUAAGGAAUAAUUGGAGACAAGCACACUUGGACAGCACUGUAACAAACACGACUGGUAGAACUACGAGAGCUCGGCACCACGUGUCCAAACCCCUCAGAGGCACUGUUCUGGUACCUAAAUUCUGCAUGCCAGUUCUCAGACAGGAGGACAGCACCCAAAGCCACGUUUAUAUCACGCACGAACUUGGACACGCGGUGUAAGACUCGAACAGCUAUAAACCCAAUAGCAAUUUGCUAUGAAAAUUUCCCCCCUAAGCUGCAGAUCUGUUUUAUCUCCAGCUGGAAGCCAACCGCUCGCUGUGACCUCCUGGCAGCGGCGGAGGCCGAGCGGGUGAGGCUGAGGCCUGCCCGUGUGCACGUGGCCGGCCGUGCCGCGUUCCAGCCGCUUGGAGGCGGAGGGGCACCAUGGCUCUCGUUUUGUAGCAAAUAAUGAGAAAGCUGAAAAGUAUGACUCCAUAUAUUUGGAAUCAUCUUGUGGUAAUCAAGGUUACAGUUCCUUAUAUGGCAUGGAGAACAUGAAGCACGCAUUAAAAAAUAGAAUAUUAAAACUAUGGAGUAUAAAGAAGCGCAACUGAUGCAAAAACCCCUGAACAAACCCAACCACCCAACCCGCGGAGCCCCGUGUUUCUGUGCCGCCAUGAAACACAAACCUUGCUGGUGGCGCGCCCUGCUUCCCAAACUGCUUAAUUAGCAGCGCACAGCUCUCCCGAGGCCGUGAGGCAUGAAUGGAUUUUGGGCAAGCAGGGCUGGAUGCAAACCCUCCUUUCAAAAAUCGCUAGUGACUGAAAAGCACAAACGGGGAAAAGGCAGGAGAAAAGGAAAAUCUAUUUAAAGAAAUGGUGGUUGUCUCUUUUUUCUCCCUGCCUGUCUAAAGUUAGUCUGGCUCAGAGGAUGCACUAACUUUCCCAAUCAGUUUUACAUUACAGUACGAGGCCAGAAAUAGCUCCCAGCCGCCUUGGCCUCCAGCAUGGUUGCCAUGACAAUGGAACCACAGCUCUAUAAAUAGCUCGGCAGCACCAAAUCUUGUGAGACACAUCUGGAAGGGGGCCAGCCCGGCCCCAGCUCUGCAAAUAAAAAUAGGCACAGGCACUUUCAAAGGCUGGAAAGCCUAUAGCAAAGCCAUACCACUUCUGAAACGGUAACAAUGAAGCGUUUUGCCCAUGAGAUCGUUAAAGUAAGGAAAAACAGAAGGAAAAAGUAAUCUACAAAAUUCUCCCCGCUAACGAUCACUGUGGAUUUUUAGCUUCGG